Carya illinoinensis is the source of this 107-nucleotide small nucleolar RNA. The record is from RefSeq and is a predicted model, not a curated record. Lineage: Eukaryota; Viridiplantae; Streptophyta; Magnoliopsida; Fagales; Juglandaceae.
UAACCAUGAUGGGGGCAAGCAUUAAGUAGAUCCUUGAAUCUCUCCCAGAACUGAUAAAAGGUCUCAGUGUCUUUCUGGGCAAAAUUCAUAAUCUGCCUAUUGGUUCU